UGGCCUAAUUGCAUUAAUGUCAAAAGUAUCAGCGUACACAUACAUCAUGUGCAUGUAUGCAGCAAACAUUAAGUAGAUAAGUGACAGAUCUUAAACUGUUUCAAUCAGUUAUAUAUUAAACUUCACAUUUAAUUCUGAAAUCUGCAUGUCAAGGGCGUAGGGACAUCAUGUUAGAUAAUGCAACAUAAAUGCAAGUUAAAUACAUGUACAUAAUUAUCAUAUCUUAAACACAUUGAAAUAUCAAUCAUACAACAUUCUGAACAUUAAUAUUGUAAAGUUUAAAUCGGACAUGACCAAAGGAUAAGAACCAAUACACUGCGUGUCUCAAAGUAAUAGACCACUUUCGAGUUCAUCCGUCACCGGAAAAAACUCGUCAAUUAUACACGCCUUUGUGAG
This 396-nucleotide long non-coding RNA is filed under the name Mytilus galloprovincialis (Mediterranean mussel). The record is from RNAcentral. Lineage: Eukaryota; Metazoa; Mollusca; Bivalvia; Mytilida; Mytilidae.